AGCAGUCGAACGGAAAGAGCCCUUCGGGGUACUCGAGUGGCGAACGGGUGAGUAACACGUGGGUGAUCUGCCCUGCACUCUGGGAUAAGCCUGGGAAACUGGGUCUAAUACCGGAUAGGACCACACACUUCAUGGUGAGUGGUGCAAAGCUUUUGCGGUGUGGGAUGAGCCCGCGGCCUAUCAGCUUGUUGGUGGGGUAAUGGCCCACCAAGGCGACGACGGGUAGCCGGCCUGAGAGGGUGACCGGCCACACUGGGACUGAGAUACGGCCCAGACUCCUACGGGAGGCAGCAGUGGGGAAUAUUGCACAAUGGGCGCAAGCCUGAUGCAGCGACGCCGCGUGAGGGAUGACGGCCUUCGGGUUGUAAACCUCUUUCAGUAGGGACGAAGCGAAAGUGACGGUACCUACAGAAGAAGGACCGGCCAACUACGUGCCAGCAGCCGCGGUAAUACGUAGGGUCCGAGCGUUGUCCGGAAUUACUGGGCGUAAAGAGCUCGUAGGUGGUUUGUCGCGUUGUUCGUGAAAACUCACAGCUUAACUGUGGGCGUGCGGGCGAUACGGGCAGACUAGAGUACUGCAGGGGAGACUGGAAUUCCUGGUGUAGCGGUGGAAUGCGCAGAUAUCAGGAGGAACACCGGUGGCGAAGGCGGGUCUCUGGGCAGUAACUGACGCUGAGGAGCGAAAGCGUGGGUAGCGAACAGGAUUAGAUACCCUGGUAGUCCACGCCGUAAACGGUGGGUACUAGGUGUGGGUUUCCUUCCUUGGGAUCCGUGCCGUAGCUAACGCAUUAAGUACCCCGCCUGGGGAGUACGGUCGCAAGACUAAAACUCAAAGGAAUUGACUGGGGCCCGCACAAGCGGCGGAGCAUGUGGAUUAAUUCGAUGCAACGCGAGAACCUUACCUGGGUUUGACAUGCACAGGACGUACCUA
This 931-nucleotide ribosomal RNA is filed under the name Mycobacterium sp. RNAcentral describes it as "bacterial SSU rRNA". It matches the Rfam family "Bacterial small subunit ribosomal RNA", at positions 56 to 1003 of the family's 1533-position model. The record is from RNAcentral. Lineage: Bacteria; Bacillati; Actinomycetota; Actinomycetes; Mycobacteriales; Mycobacteriaceae.